This 408-nucleotide long non-coding RNA is filed under the name Ananas comosus (pineapple). RNAcentral's name for it is "long non-coding RNA (ACOM_LNC022698)". Lineage: Eukaryota; Viridiplantae; Streptophyta; Magnoliopsida; Poales; Bromeliaceae. The record is from RNAcentral.
UUCAGAGAUUAUGUGGGUCAAAAGCAAAGAUUCAAGUGCUCAUCCGCACGGUCCGUAUUCACCGUGUCAUAUCGUGCCAGCAAGAUAUCGGCACGAUACAGCCUCCGUACCGAUCCCACAACUCAAAAUAAAACUCUCUAUUUUUGAAAUUUGUAAGUAAAUUUCUCAAUAAAAUUAAAAAGAUUUGAUAAAAAUAUAUAAUAAAUAAUUAACAUAUUUUAUUGUGAAAGAAAAUAAAUAUUUCGUGUCAUUACGUGUCGGCACACAUAUAUUUUUUAUGAUUGACACGCAUUGUUAUGGUCCGACACGCACUGUGCCGUAUCGUACCAACAAGUUUCCAACACAAUCUUGUGCCACGGCACUUAAAUUUUUAGUCAAAAGGUUUAUACAUCUGCUCUCAAGAAUAAA